RNAcentral lists this unclassified non-coding RNA (200 nucleotides) under Russula sp. Its description in RNAcentral is "partial internal transcribed spacer 2". Lineage: Eukaryota; Fungi; Basidiomycota; Agaricomycetes; Russulales; Russulaceae. The record is from RNAcentral.
UUAAGUUCAGCGGGUAGUCUCACCCGAUUUGAGGUCAAGGUUUGUGGGCCAAGUGGCAAUCACUUAACCCAUUGUCUUCUAUGAGACGGUUAGAAGCAGGAUCCAGAGCGAACAGUGCGAGAUCCAAGACGUAGAAAUAUCUUAUCACGUCAAGUAUCCGCAAAGCAGAUCCCACUAAUUCAUUUUAGAGGAGCUGGCUU